This is a long non-coding RNA of Suricata suricatta (meerkat), 422 nucleotides long. RefSeq lists it as uncharacterized. The record is from RefSeq and is a predicted model, not a curated record. The transcript has 3 exons. Lineage: Eukaryota; Metazoa; Chordata; Mammalia; Carnivora; Herpestidae.
CAGAAGACCGCGUUCCCAGAACUGCUGUCCUAGAGCUUAUGAAGAUUCUUUUAUCAAGUCCCUUGGUGGGCUUCUGUUCUCAGCAUGGAUGACAAGCGCAUAUUCCAAGAAUAUUCUUAUUCUCCUGAAGCUGCUUUUAUGUCAGCAAGAUGUUGAGGCUUUUUGAUGGACGACAUGUCAGAGAGGAGAUGAGGAGUAAAUUCGAAGUAAGGAUGAGAAGUCUGUUGGGAGCCACACAUAAUGACAGCGGCAAGAGUGGGCAGAGGGAGAAAAGAGAAAAAUGUACAAAGCAAUUGGAAAUCUAUUGCAUGCCCAGUGCAUCCCACAGUGCCCAAAAUGAUGACUCUGAGCCACCUGCCAGUGUCUGACAUACGGUGGUCCAAUAUCCCAAUAUGAGAUGACAAUUUUCACAGAAUAGCAGA